CUGACCGAUAGUGAACCAGUACCGUGAGGGAAAGGCGAAAAGAACCCCGGCGAGGGGAGUGAAAAAGAACCUGAAACCGUGUACGUACAAGCAGUGGGAGCCCCACCACUAAGCCAGUGGUGAACUCCACAUACGCAUCCUUUGCUGAGGAUACGGUUAACGGAGCGAAAGCGACGUUCAACCGCAAAAGAAGCAGAGGGGGCUUAGUGGUGGGGUGACUGCGUACCUUUUGUAUAAUGGGUCAGCGACUUAUAUUCUGUAGCAAGGUUAACCGAAUAGGGGAGCCGGAGGGAAACCGAGUCUUAAUUGGGCGUUAAGUUGCAGGGUAUAGACCCGAAACCCGGUGAUCUAGCCAUGGGCAGGUUGAAGGUUGGGUAACACUAACUGGAGGACCGAACCGACUAAUGUUGAAAAAUUAGCGGAUGACCUGUGGCUGGGGGUGAAAGGCCAAUCAAACCGGGAGAUAGCUGGUUCUCCCCGAAAGCUAUUUAGGUAGCGCCUCGUGAAUUCAUCUCCGGGGGUAGAGCACUGUUUCGGCUAGGGGGCCAUCCCGGCUUACCAACCCGAUGCAAACUGCGAAUACCGGAGAAUGUUAUCACGGGAGACACACGGCGGGUGCUAACGUCCGUCGUGAAGAGGGAAACAACCCAGACCGCCAGCUAAGGUCCCAAAGUCAUGGUUAAGUGGGAAACGAUGUGGGAAGGCCCAGACAGCCAGGAUGUUGGCUUAGAAGCAGCCAUCAUUUAAAGAAAGCGUAAUAGCUCACUGGUCGAGUCGGCCUGCGCGGAAGAUGUAACGGGGCUAAACCAUGCACCGAAGCUGCGGCAGCGACGCUGAUGCGUUGUUGGGUAGGGGAGCGUUCUGUAAGCCUGUGAAGGUGGCCUGUGAGGGUUGCUGGAGGUAUCAGAAGUGCGAAUGCUGACAUAAGUAACGAUAAAGCGGGUGAAAAGCCCGCUCGCCGGAAGACCAAGGGUUCCUGUCCAACGUUAAUCGGGGCAGGGUGAGUCGACCCCUAAGGCGAGGCCGAAAGGCGUAGUCGAUGGGAAACGGGUUAAUAUUCCCGUACUUGGUGUUACUGCGAAGGGGGGACGGAGAAGGCUAUGUUGGCCGGGCGACGGUUGUCCCGGUUUAAGCGUGUAGGUGUGUGUUCCAGGUAAAUCCGGUUCACUUUAACACUGAGGCGUGAUGACGAGGCACUACGGUGCUGAAGCAACAAAUGCCCUGCUUCCAGGAAAAGCCUCUAAGCAUCAGGUAACAUCAAAUCGUACCCCAAACCGACACAGGUGGUCAGGUAGAGAAUACCAAGGCGCUUGAGAGAACUCGGGUGAAGGAACUAGGCAAAAUGGUGCCGUAACUUCGGGAGAAGGCACGCUGACACGUAGGUGAAGUGAUUUACUCAUGGAGCUGAAGUCAGUCGAAGAUACCAGCUGGCUGCAACUGUUUAUUAAAAACACAGCACUGUGCAAACACGAAAGUGGACGUAUACGGUGUGACGCCUGCCCGGUGCCGGAAGGUUAAUUGAUGGGGUCAGCGCAAGCGAAGCUCCUGAUCGAAGCCCCGGUAAACGGCGGCCGUAACUAUAACGGUCCUAAGGUAGCGAAAUUCCUUGUCGGGUAAGUUCCGACCUGCACGAAUGGCGUAAUGAUGGCCAGGCUGUCUCCACCCGAGACUCAGUGAAAUUGAACUCGCUGUGAAGAUGCAGUGUACCCGCGGCAAGACGGAAAGACCCCGUGAACCUUUACUAUAGCUUGACACUGAACAUUGAGCCUUGAUGUGUAGGAUAGGUGGGAGGCUUUGAAGUGUGGACGCCAGUCUGCAUGGAGCCGGCCUUGAAAUACCACCCUUUAAUGUUUGAUGUUCUAACGUGGACCCGUGAUCCGGGUUGCGGACAGUGUCUGGUGGGUAGUUUGACUGGGGCGGUCUCCUCCUAAAGAGUAACGGAGGAGCACGAAGGUUGGCUAAUCCUGGUCGGACAUCAGGAGGUUAGUGCAAUGGCAUAAGCCAGCUUGACUGCGAGCGUGACGGCGCGAGCAGGUGCGAAAGCAGGUCAUAGUGAUCCGGUGGUUCUGAAUGGAAGGGCCAUCGCUCAACGGAUAAAAGGUACUCCGGGGAUAACAGGCUGAUACCGCCCAAGAGUUCAUAUCGACGGCGGUGUUUGGCACCUCGAUGUCGGCUCAUCACAUCCUGGGGCUGAAGUAGGUCCCAAGGGUAUGGCUGUUCGCCAUUUAAAGUGGUACGCGAGCUGGGUUUAGAACGUCGUGAGACAGUUCGGUCCCUAUCUGCCGUGGGCGCUGGAGAACUGAGGGGGGCUGCUCCUAGUACGAGAGGACCGGAGUGGACGCAUCACUGGUGUUCGGGUUGUCAUGCCAAUGGCACUGCCCGGUAGCUAAAUGCGGAAGAGAUAAGUGCUGAAAGCAUCUAAGCACGAAACUUGCCCCGAGAUGAGUUCUCCCUGAGACUUAGAGUCUCCUGAAGGAACGUUGAAGACGACGACGUUGAUAGGCCGGGUGUGUAAGCGCAGCGAUGCGUUGAGCUAACCGGUACUAAUGAACCGUGAGGCUUAACCUUACAACGCCGAAG
RNAcentral lists this ribosomal RNA (2580 nucleotides) under Salmonella enterica. RNAcentral's name for it is "partial 23S ribosomal RNA". It matches the Rfam family "Bacterial large subunit ribosomal RNA", at positions 480 to 2925 of the family's 2925-position model. The record is from RNAcentral. Lineage: Bacteria; Pseudomonadati; Pseudomonadota; Gammaproteobacteria; Enterobacterales; Enterobacteriaceae.